Non-coding RNA from Oryza glumipatula, 194 nucleotides. NCBI's taxonomy places the organism in Eukaryota, Viridiplantae, Streptophyta, Magnoliopsida, Poales, Poaceae. The record is from Rfam.
CUUGUUUCCGUGCCCAAACGUUUGACCGUCCGUCUUAUUUAAAAAAAUUAUAAAAAAAAUUAAAAAGACAAGUCACGCAUAAAAUAUUAAUCAUGUUUUAUCAUCUAACAACAAUAAAAAUACGAAUUAUAAAAAAAAUUCAUAUAAGACAGACAGUCAAAGUUGGACACGGAAACCCAGGAUUUGCCCUUUUU